AUUGAACGCUGGCGGCAGGCCUAACACAUGCAAGUCGAACGAGUGGCGGACGGGUGAGUAAUGUCUGGGAAACUGCCCGAUGGAGGGGGAUAACUACUGGAAACGGUAUCUAAUACCGCAUACCAUCGGAUGUGCCCAGAUGGGAUUAGCGAGUGGGUGGGGUAAGGGCUCACCUAGGCGACGAUCCCUAGCUGGUCUGAGAGGAUGACCAGCCACACUGGAACUGAGACACGGUCCAGACUCCUACGGGAGGCAGCAGUGGGGAAUAUUGCACAAGGGGCGCAAGCCUGAUGCAGCCAUGCCGCGUGUAUGAAGAAGGCCUUCGGGUUGUAAAGUACUUUCAGCGGGGAGGCGUUACCCGCAGAAGAAGCACCGGCUAACUCCGUGCCAGCCGCCGCGGUAAUUC
Molecule: ribosomal RNA, 406 nt
Filed under: uncultured bacterium
Lineage: Bacteria
Description: partial 16S ribosomal RNA
Rfam family: Bacterial small subunit ribosomal RNA
Source: RNAcentral